Molecule: non-coding RNA, 322 nt
Organism: Pelobates cultripes (western spadefoot toad)
Lineage: Eukaryota; Metazoa; Chordata; Amphibia; Anura; Pelobatidae
Source: the annotation of a GenBank genome assembly
UUAAACCUCACCUGAUCUAAGGCUUUGUUUGUCUAAACAUAGACCUCUCGGGCCAUCUUUUCCUACCUUCUCAUGGAUACAUUAAUGAUCUAAAACCGGAAUCCCUGUCCCCUAUCUACCUCCCACCAGCAGGCUUCUGGGAAAACCAAGAAGCCCUUACCUAUAAUACUACAUUAAAAUACCAAGGACCAACUCUAAAUGAUCUCUGUUAUACAUAUUGGAGCGUUCCUGUGAUCUAGCAAAAAGCAGAAUGCAACCCUUCCUAGUCUACCAUGUGGUUGCUUGAUAUUGCUUGCGUUGGGGUAGGAGACUUGCAACUAAU